RNAcentral lists this microRNA precursor (205 nucleotides) under Oryza glumipatula. RNAcentral's name for it is "MIR812 microRNA precursor family". It matches the Rfam family "MIR812 microRNA precursor family". Lineage: Eukaryota; Viridiplantae; Streptophyta; Magnoliopsida; Poales; Poaceae. The record is from Rfam by way of RNAcentral.
AAAAAGACAAACCCUGGGUUUCCGUGUCCAACAUUUGAUCGUCCGUCUUAUUUGAAAAAAUUAUUAAAAAAUUAAAAAGACAAGUCACGCAUAAAGUAUUAAUCAUGUUUUAUCAUCUAACAACAAUGAAAAUACUAAUUAUAAAAAAAAUCAUAUAAGACGAACGGUCAAACGUUGAACACGGAAACCCAGGGUUUGUCUUUUU